RNAcentral lists this ribosomal RNA (391 nucleotides) under Amphipholis squamata. RNAcentral describes it as "partial 16S ribosomal RNA". It matches the Rfam family "Bacterial large subunit ribosomal RNA", at positions 1804 to 2485 of the family's 2925-position model. Lineage: Eukaryota; Metazoa; Echinodermata; Ophiuroidea; Amphilepidida; Amphiuridae. The record is from RNAcentral.
UUACCAAAAACAUCGCCUUUAGAAAAAAGAUUAAAGGUUCUGCCUGCCCGGUGACAAUAGUUAAACGGCUGCAGUAUUACUGACUGUGCAAAGGUAGCAUAAUCAUUCGCCUGUUAAUUGCAGGCUAGUAUCAACGGCUAGACGACAGAGAAGCUGUCUCCCCUUAUAUAAUUUGAAAUUAACCUUAAGGUGAAGAGACCUUAAUAAUGUAGUGGGACGAGAAGACCCUAUAGAGCUUUACCUAUAUUAUUUUAAAUUUUGAAUUAGUAGGUUUGGUUGGGGCAACCUCCCCUUUUUUAAAGCAGGGGAUAAUCAAAAUGUAUUAAAACAAAUAACAAGACCCAAAACUUUUUGAUCAAAAGAAAAAGUUACCUUAGGGAUAACAGCGUAA